This 559-nucleotide ribosomal RNA is filed under the name uncultured bacterium. Its description in RNAcentral is "bacterial SSU rRNA". It matches the Rfam family "Bacterial small subunit ribosomal RNA", at positions 119 to 674 of the family's 1533-position model. The record is from RNAcentral.
CGGAAUCUACCUUUUCGUGGGGGAUAACGUAGGGAAACUUACGCUAAUACCGCAUACGACCUUCGGGUGAAAGCAGGGGACCUUCGGGCCUUGCGCGGAUAGAUGAGCCGAUGUCGGAUUAGCUAGUUGGCGGGGUAAAGGCCCACCAAGGCGACGAUCCGUAGCUGGUCUGAGAGGAUGAUCAGCCACACCGGAACUGAGACACGGUCCAGACUCCUACGGGAGGCAGCAGUGGGGAAUAUUGGACAAUGGGCGCAAGCCUGAUCCAGCCAUACCGCGUGGGUGAAGAAGGCCUUCGGGUUGUAAAGCCCUUUUGUUGGGAAAGAAAAGCAGUCGGCUAAUACCCGGUUGUUCUGACGGUACCCAAAGAAUAAGCACCGGCUAACUUCGUGCCAGCAGCCGCGGUAAUACGAAGGGUGCAAGCGUUACUCGGAAUUACUGGGCGUAAAGCGUGCGUAGGUGGUUGUUUAAGUCUGUUGUGAAAGCCCUGGGCUCAACCUGGGAAUUGCAGUGGAUACUGGGCGACUAGAGUGUGGUAGAGGGUAGUGGAAUUCCCGGU